Molecule: ribosomal RNA, 372 nt
Filed under: uncultured organism
Description: partial 16S ribosomal RNA
Rfam family: Bacterial small subunit ribosomal RNA
Source: RNAcentral
GGAGGGUGCAAGCGUUAAUCGGAAUUACUGGGCGUAAAGCGCGCGUAGGCGGGUAUUUAAGUCGAUUGUGAAAGCCCCGGGCUCAACCUGGGAACUGCAGUCGAUACUGGAUACCUAGAGUAUGGUAGAGGUAUGUGGAAUUCCCGGUGUAGCGGUGAAAUGCGUAGAGAUCGGGAGGAACACCAGUGGCGAAGGCGGCAUACUGGACCAAUACUGACGCUGAGGUGCGAAAGCGUGGGGAGCAAACAGGGAUUAGAGACCCUGGUAGUCCACGCCGUAAACGAUGAGAACUAGGUGUUGGGGGACUAGAUCCCCUUAGUGCCGCAGCUAACGCGUUAAGUUCUCCGCCUGGGGAGUACGGCCGCAAGGUUA